This 253-nucleotide ribosomal RNA is filed under the name uncultured bacterium. RNAcentral describes it as "partial 16S ribosomal RNA". It matches the Rfam family "Bacterial small subunit ribosomal RNA", at positions 524 to 776 of the family's 1533-position model. The record is from RNAcentral.
UACGGAGGGUGCAAGCGUUAAUCGGAAUUACUGGGCGUAAAGCGUGCGCAGGCGGUUUGUUAAGUCCGCUGUGAAAUCCCCGAGCUCAACUUGGGAAUUGCGGUGGAUACUGGCAAGCUGGAGUAUGGUAGAGGAAGGUGGAAUUCCCGGUGUAGCAGUGAAAUGCGUAGAGAUCGGGAGGAACACCAGUGGCGAAGGCGGCCUUCUGGACCAAUACUGACGCUCAUGCACGAAAGCGUGGGGAGCAAACAGG